UUAUCCAUUUAAUAAAAAAUCAUUUCAAUUUAAGUCACUAAAUUACCAAACACAUAACUACUCUCACUAACUAUAUUGAAACUUACAAAACAUUGCCUGCACUUAAGCAAAAAGAGUCAAUCAGCACCUAAUCAAACCAGUCCAUGUCAAAACAUUGGUUAAGAUAAAAUCAACUGAAACUAAAAUAGGAACUAAGCUGAACCAGCAUGCUUC
RNAcentral lists this long non-coding RNA (213 nucleotides) under Gossypium barbadense (sea-island cotton). RNAcentral's name for it is "long non-coding RNA (GBAR_LNC007920)". The record is from RNAcentral. Lineage: Eukaryota; Viridiplantae; Streptophyta; Magnoliopsida; Malvales; Malvaceae.